This 62-nucleotide microRNA precursor is filed under the name Pelobates cultripes (western spadefoot toad). The record is from RNAcentral. Lineage: Eukaryota; Metazoa; Chordata; Amphibia; Anura; Pelobatidae.
UAGUGCUGCAAUGUUUACAUUGCAGUUUGUCUGGAACUGCAAUGUUUUACAUUGCAGCACUA